Molecule: long non-coding RNA, 931 nt
Filed under: Gallus gallus (chicken)
Lineage: Eukaryota; Metazoa; Chordata; Aves; Galliformes; Phasianidae
Description: lncRNA (ENSGALG00010025880.1)
Source: RNAcentral
CUGCAGUCGAUGUCUGAGCUCUCGUGUGGGGAUUUUCCUCCUCGUCUCCAUCUGUCUCCAGGAUCUGCUGUCUGUGCUGAAAUCUGAUUCGUAGGAAACAGUAUCUGAGUUCGGGAAAUGCCACGGGGUGUCUGAGGCCUUUGGGACCGGGCAUGGAAAAGAGCAGCCCCCAAAGCCUGUUGUAAUCCUCUGUGCCAAAAUGAGAUAAGAAAGCCUCAAAGCUUUAUUACAGAGGAGGACGGCACAGCUCAGAGGAUCCCGUGUGCCUUUUGGUGCCUCUGUCCUAUCGGUUGUGUCCCCCAGAAUCACAGUGGUUACAGCCAGGAAUUGCUGCCCUUCAUCACGUGUGGGACCAGCAUUGGGGUUUUCCUUCCUUGGCUCUGCAGGGAACGGUCCCUGCUGGCAUUUCCCCGCUGCAGUGGGCGCUGCGGAUGCUGUGUGUGCUCCUGGCGUGCGCUGAGUUCCAACUGUUGGCUUUUGCUCUGAAGCAAUAAAUCUGAGCAGAGCACGCUCUGUGCAUGGGGUGUGGGCUGCUGGGGGUGAUUUGGGGCUGUGUUGCUUCGUGUUGGCCCUGAGGGAUUGUCCCAUGUCACAGCAGUGGAGGCAGAAGCCCCAUGGAAACUUCACUUGCGCUCUCUCCUCGUUUGCCAUUUGCCUCGCUCCUAAAAUAGAAGCAGCUGAGACUAAAAGCACACACGAGCAAUUUGCAAACAGAAGGACAAUUAAAAGGAGGAAAAACCAAUUUCCCCCAGCGUAGCGGGGAAAGACAGUGCUGCAUUGUGUGAGCUGCGGUGUCCUUCCAGCAGAACAACCGGCCCAGGUUCUCUGCCCACGGCUAUUUCGGAUGACAGUACUCUGUGAGAUCUCUUGUUCUCAGCCCCCUCGGAGUCUCUCUGCUCCGGCAGCAGCAGCAAAACCUCCUGGCCUUCCC